RNAcentral lists this long non-coding RNA (1109 nucleotides) under Homo sapiens (human). RNAcentral's name for it is "long non-coding RNA NONHSAT180046.1". The record is from RNAcentral. Lineage: Eukaryota; Metazoa; Chordata; Mammalia; Primates; Hominidae.
CCAGCAGUACGGACGAGGUGCUGUCCCUGGAGGAGAAAGACCUGAGGGACCGGGAGAGGCGCAUGGCCAAUAACGCGCGGGAGCGGGUGCGCGUGCGGGAUAUUAACGAGGCCUUCCGGGAGCUGGGGCGCAUGUGCCAGAUGCACCUCAAGUCGGACAAAGCGCAGACCAAGCUGCUCAUCCUGCAGCAGGCCGUGCAGGUCAUCCUGGGGCUGGAGCAGCAGGUGCGAGAGCGGAACCUGAAUCCCAAAGCAGCCUGUUUGAAACGGCGAGAAGAGGAAAAGGUGUCAGGUGUGGUUGGAGACCCCCAGAUGGUGCUUUCAGCUCCCCACCCAGGCCUGAGCGAAGCCCACAACCCCGCCGGGCACAUGUGAAAGGUAUGCCUCCGUGGGACGAGCCACCCGCUUUCAGCCCUGUGCUCUGGCCCCAGAACGGCCACUCGAGACCCCGGGCUUCAUCCACAUCCACACCUCACACACCUGUUGUCAGCAUCGAGCCAACACCAACCUGACAAGGUUCGGAGUGAUGGGGGCGGCCAAGGUGACACUGGGUCCAGGAGCUCCCUGGGGCCCUGGCCUACCACUCACUGGCCUCGCUCCCCCUGUCCCCGAAUCUCAGCCACCGUGUCACUCUGUGACCUGUCCCAUGGAUCCUGAAACUGCAUCUUGGCCCUGUUGCCUGGGCUGACAGGAGCAUUUUUUUUUUUUCCAGUAAACAAAACCUGAAAGCAAGCAACAAAACAUACACUUUGUCAGAGAAGAAAAAAAUGCCUUAACUAUAAAAAGCGGAGAAAUGGAAACAUAUCACUCAAGGGGGAUGCUGUGGAAACCUGGCUUAUUCUUCUAAAGCCACCAGCAAAUUGUGCCUAAGCGAAAUAUUUUUUUUAAGGAAAAUAAAAACAUUAGUUACAAGAUUUUUUUUUUCUUAAUGUAGAUGAAAAUUAGCAAGGAUGCUGCCUUUGGUCUCUGGUUUUUUUAAGCUUUUUUUGCAUAUGUUUUGUAAGCAACAAAUUUUUUUGUAUAAAAGUCCCGUGUCUCUCGCUAUUUCUGCUGCUGUUCCUAGACUGAGCAUUGCAUUUCUUGAUCAACCAGAUGAUUAAACGUUGUAUU